Molecule: long non-coding RNA, 569 nt
Filed under: Homo sapiens (human)
Lineage: Eukaryota; Metazoa; Chordata; Mammalia; Primates; Hominidae
Description: HSALNT0063042
Source: RNAcentral
UAGCAAUCAGCGAGACUCCGUGGGUGCAGGACCCUCCAAGCCAGGUGCGGGAUAUAAUCUCCUGGUGUGCUGUUUUUUAAGCCCAUUGGAAAAGCGCAGUAUUCAGGUGGGAGUGACCCGAUUUUCCAGGUGCCAUCUGUCACCCCUUUCUUUGACUAGGAAAGGGAACUCCCUGACCCUUUGCGCUUCCCGAGUGAGGCAAUGCCUCACCCUGCUUCAGCUCACACACGGUGCGCACACCCACUGACCUACGCCCACUGUCUGGCACUCCCUAGUGAGAUGAACCCGGUACCUCAGAUGGAAAUGCAGAAAUCACCCGUCUUCUGCGUCGCUCAUGCUGGGAGCUGUAGGCCAGAGCUGUUCCUAUUCGGCCAUCUUGGCUCCUCCCCCUCGCCAGCACUCUUUUUAAGGAGUUCUACCAUUACAGCAGGUUGGCAAAGGACUUGAGAGCCAUGAUGAAGGUUCUGGAAAGGAAGGUCCAUAUGGGCAAGGAUCUUUGUCUGUUCACUGAUGUAUCCCAAGUGCCCAGAACAGUGCUUGGGACACAAUGAGUUCUCAAUAAAUAUUUG